RNAcentral lists this ribosomal RNA (428 nucleotides) under uncultured bacterium. RNAcentral describes it as "bacterial SSU rRNA". It matches the Rfam family "Bacterial small subunit ribosomal RNA", at positions 354 to 774 of the family's 1533-position model. The record is from RNAcentral.
GUGGGGAAUAUUGGACAAUGGGCGCAAGCCUGAUCCAGCCAUGCCGCGUGGGUGAAGAAGGCCUUCGGGUUGUAAAGCCCUUUUGUCCGGAAAGAAAUCCUGUCGGUUAAUACCCGGCGGGGAUGACGGUACCGGAAGAAUAAGCACCGGCUAACUUCGUGCCAGCAGCCGCGGUAAUACGAAGGGUGCAAGCGUUACUCGGAAUUACUGGGCGUAAAGCGUGCGUAGGCGGUUCGUUAAGUCCGAUGUGAAAGCCCUGGGCUCAACCUGGGAACUGCAUUGGAUACUGGCGAGCUAGAGUGCGGUAGAGGAUGGUGGAAUUCCCGGUGUAGCGGUGAAAUGCGUAGAGAUCGGGAGGAACACCAGUGGCGAAGGCGGCCAUCUGGACCAGCACUGACGCUGAGGCACGAAAGCGUGGGGAGCAAACA